RNAcentral lists this unclassified non-coding RNA (1370 nucleotides) under Homo sapiens (human). Its description in RNAcentral is "partial NAMA". Lineage: Eukaryota; Metazoa; Chordata; Mammalia; Primates; Hominidae. The record is from RNAcentral.
ACUUACCAGGACUUGUGAUAGAACAAAAUUGCCAGUGGGGAACUUGAGGCUCAUUCCUCAUAGAGAACCAACAGGCUCCAAAUCACCAAACUUCUUUGCCUCUCUGGGAAAACUAAAUGACCCACCACUUCAGAAGAAGGUCAUGGGGUCUGUGCACAGCUUUUCACAUCCUCCCUGAAACACCAACACGCCCGGUCCAGAGAGACAAGUUUUGGUGGUGUGACCAGCAGGUGCCUCGGCUUUUUCUAGCAUGCAGUACCAAAAUAGUCACCAUGGCAACCCUGGGAGGGCAGACUUCCAAAGAGAUGCAUUGUGAGCUCAGAAACUCUAGAGCACUUUCAAGCUAAAAGGAAGGAGGCUCAGCAGUGGGUUUCCAACCGUGCCUCCUUCCUUGGUUCACAAUGACAGUCCAACUUCUGCCAGUCCUGACUGUCAUUCAAGCCUUUUUGCUAUUUAAGAAUUUUGAGGAAGAAAACCGUCAUGUACUCAAAAUCCUGGUAAUCAGAAGUGUCUGGAGAUUUCGAGCUGUUAACAUAGAGAGGUGGCAAAAUUAUUUUCUGGGAUAUCCUUAUGGGCCUGAAUGGCAGCGGGAGUCGACAUAGCUGGUGCCUGGGCAGGUUUCCAAAGCACAGCCGAGGUGGAGAGUAGGUGAGGGCUGCAACAAAGGUCCCGACAUCUGAAGAGCACUGCACAGUUUGUCAGAGGAUUUCAGCUCCACACUCUCACUUAGUCCUCACAGCAACCCCAUGCAGUGACUGCUGUCACUUCUUUUCAUGGCUGAGAAGACUGUUGGGAGAGGAAAAAUGAAUUGCCCACUGGCAGGCAGGUAAGAGGCACAGCUGAAACUCUCACCUAGUUCUUCUGACUCCAAGCCCAUCAUCUCAGGAUUGUACCCAAGUGGCUCUUGCACCAGUAUCAGCGCCAAUGGCAGGGUCAGCAGAAAAUAGCAGAGGGGCCUGAAAACAGAUGGGAACAUCUGGAAAAGGCAGUGGGGAGCUGUUGAGAGCAUUUUGAGUGGGGCAGUGACACUGCUGGCUCUGCAUUUUGGAAAGGUGGUUUUCAGAGCAGUUUGGAUGAUGCUGGGGAGUAGCUGACAGGUUGAAGAUCAGUCCUGAGGAGCAGAUGCAUAAUCCACUUAGGAAAAAGGAGGGGGGAUGCACGGAGUUAGCACAUAUUAAGUGCCUGCUGUAGUCAAGCCCUGUUGGACACCAGGGACAUCUGGACCUUGACAACGGAGCGAAGGGGUGGUCCUGCCUGCACCAGGUUUCAGUGGCUUCUCAGGCUUCUCUGCAGCAUGGGUGUUCCUGCCUUGGCCAGAGCCGAAAUCCCAGAGCAGUGAAAGAGGAGCCAGUGUCAUGGGGCUUCUGGUU